AAUAAUUUGAAAUAAUCAUUUUUAGAAAAGAAUAAAAAUCUAGUAAUUUUGUUAAAUUCGAAAUUCGCUAUGUUUUUUCCAACUUCAAAUGACAUUAACUUCUAUACCAGGAUGAGAUAGGUGAAUUUCAAAAUAUGGAUGUAAAGAUCUUGAAAUAACUUUUCCAAUGAAACCAAGACUGCACAAUUUUGAUUUUGUUUGAGUAAGUUAUGCCCUUUGGAAGUUAGUUGUUUGAAUAAGGAAAUGUCCAAUCCAAAAGUUAGAAUGGUAGUUUGGUCUUUUCCUUAUCGUUUUACUUUAAUUUGUUUUUCGUAAUUCCUUAGAAGUCUAAACUAAACAUAUUUAGUUUAUGCAUUAUAAAAAUAGACUUAUGGUUUCUGGAGAAAGCAUAAUUAGCUUACACUGUGACGCGAGUAGAAUGGGGCAUGUGAAAUCCCAUGUGAAUCAGCAAGGACCAUCUUGCAAGGCUAAAUACUCUUGGGUGACAGCUUGGGAAGCAUUACCAUAAGGGUAGGGUGGAAAGGACCCCCAUUGAAGAGUGAAAUAGAACAUGAAAUCCAUAGCUCCCAAGCAAUAGGAGGAGCCAGGGUUUUGACCUCUUGCCUAUUGAAGAAUGAGCCAGGGACACAUAGGCAAUGGCUUGGUUAAGGGAACCCACCAGAAAAAUAGAGAAAGCGAGUCUUCAUAGGGCAAUUCUAACUACUUAUGGACAUGAACCUGGGUGAUCUAUCCAAGACUAGGAUGAAGCUUGGUCGAAACUAAGCGAUGGUCCGAAUCGACUGAUAUUGAAGAAUCAAUAGUUUAGUUAUGGUUAUGGGUAAAAUGCCACUCGAACCUAAAUUUAGUUUGUUCUCCACGAAAUUCGUUGAGGCAUAGCAGUUUACUAUACAUCUAGGAGUAAAGCACUAUUUUGAUGUGGGUCGCGAUAGAGGUACAAAAUCGAGGCAAAAUUUGAAUAGUAGAUAUGACCUAAAAAUAAUAGGGGUCAAGGUCGGCUAGUGAGACGAUAAGGGAUAAGCUUCAUUAUCGAUAGGGAAACAACCCAUAUUACCAAAUAAGGACCCUAAAUUACCGCUAAUUGUAAAGGAGGUAGGGAUGCAGAGACAGCCAGGUGGUUUACCUAGAAGCAUCCACCCUUGAAAGAGUGAAAAUAUCUCACUGAUCGAGCGUUAUUGCACUGAAGAUGAAUGGGGAUAAGAGCUCUGCCAAAGCUGUGGGAUGUAAAAAUACAUUGGUAGGGGAUAUUUCCGCCUUAUAGAUAAGCCUCCACACGAGAGGUGGCGGAAGAAGUAGAAGGGACAAUGUCGGCUUCAGCAGCGCAAACAUUGCUGAAAAUCCAAUUCCUCAAAAAGCUAAGGGUACCUCCGCAUGGUUCAUCCACGCAGGGUGAAUCAGGUCCUAUGAUCAGGCCGAGAGUUGUAGUCCAUAGACAAUAGGUGAAUAUUCAUGUACUACCCCUUCUUAGUCCCGAGGGACGGAGGAGGCUAGGUUAGCCGAAAGAUGGUUAUCGGUUAAAGAACGUAAGGUUUCCCUACUUUUUAAGGGUAAGAAGAGUAGAUAAAAUUCCUUGAGCCAAUGUUUGAAUAUGAGGCGCUACAUCGCUGAAGUAACUCGUGCCAUACUCCUAGGAAAAGAUUGAAUGACGUUAAGCAAGAGGGUACUUGUACCUGAAACUGAUAUACGUGAGUAGUUAGAGAUACCUAGGGGUGUGAUAUAACUCUCUCUAAGGAACUCGGUAAAAUAGCUUUGUUACUUCGGGAGAAGGGGUUCCUCCUAGCAAAGGGAGUCGUAGUUUCUAGGCCCCGUUGACUGUUUACAAAAAACAAAGUCUCCGCAAAGUUGUAAGACCAUAUAUGGGGGUUGUCACCUUCUAUGUGACGGAAGGUCAAGGAAGGUUGUAACGUGAUAACAGGGAAGCCGACGACUAAAGUCGUGAAGAAUGGUGUCUGUAACUAUAACGAUUCUAUAGCAAAAUUCAUUAUUGGGUAAGUUUCAACCAAAAUGAAAGGUGUAACAAUCUAGGAACUAUUUUGGAGAGAUGCUCGGUGAAAUAGACAUCUCUGUGAAGGUGCGCAAUACUUGCACCUAGAUAGAAAGACCCUAUGAAGCUUCAUUGUUCACUGUGAUUGGCUUUGGGCCUUUCGUGCACAACUUAAGUGGAAGGCGAAGAAGGCCUCAUUCCGUGGGCCUGAGCAAUCAAUGAGAUACCACUUUGGAAUUGCUAGAAUGCUAACCUUGUGUAGAAAGUUAUUAUGGGGCGUAGGCCUCCCAAAAGGUAACAGAGGCAUGCAAAGUUUUCCUUGGGCCAGAUAGAGAUUGGCCCUUCAUUGCAAAAGUAUAAGUGAGCUUGACUGCAUGACCUACCCAUCGAGCAGGGAUGAAAGUUCGGCUUAGUUAUAUGAAGAUGGCGGGAGGAAUGGUCGUCGCUCAAUGGUUAAGAGUAACACCCUGAUCUUUCCCAAGAGCUCACAUCGAUGGUAAGGUUUGGCACCGCUUCGUCACCUAGGGCAGUAGUUUGUUCCAAGGUUUGAAUGCUCAUUAAAGAAGAACGUGAGAUGGGUUUACAACGUCGUGAGAAAGUUUUAUCCAUUUCUUGUGUGGGCGUUAGAGUAUUGUCUUGACCUUUCCCUCGUACGAGAGGAUUGGGAAGGACGCACCUUUGGUGUACCAAUUAUUGUGCCCACGGUAAAUACUAGGUAUCCAAGUGCGGAGCGGAUAACCACUGAAAUCAUCUAAGUAAUUAUCCCCCCCCCCCUCCCAAGAUUAGUGCUCUCUUUUUCUGAUUUCCCAAGAGCUUUUGGUUACACAUCUGAUACAUCGACGAGUUCUCUACCCCUGAGGGUAUGGAGUGACUAAUUUUUUUGUAGAAUUCAAUAGAACGUCACGUCGAGACAAGUGAUUUAUCAUUACAAUAUGUGUCAAGUGAAAGUGAAGUGAUGUAUGCAACUGAGGUAUCCUAACAGACCGGUGGACUUUAAC
Molecule: ribosomal RNA, 2979 nt
Filed under: Solanum habrochaites
Lineage: Eukaryota; Viridiplantae; Streptophyta; Magnoliopsida; Solanales; Solanaceae
Description: bacterial LSU rRNA
Rfam family: Bacterial large subunit ribosomal RNA
Source: RNAcentral